RNAcentral lists this ribosomal RNA (414 nucleotides) under uncultured bacterium. RNAcentral's name for it is "bacterial SSU rRNA". It matches the Rfam family "Bacterial small subunit ribosomal RNA", at positions 30 to 447 of the family's 1533-position model. The record is from RNAcentral.
AUUGAACGCUGGCGGCAUGCCUUACACAUGCAAGUCGAACGGCAGCACGGGAGCAAUCCUGGUGGCGAGUGGCGAACGGGUGAGUAAUAUAUCGGAACGUGCCCAGUCGUGGGGGAUAACGUAGCGAAAGCUACGCUAAUACCGCAUACGAUCUACGGAUGAAAGCGGGGGAUCGCAAGACCUCGCGCGAUUGGAGCGGCCGAUAUCAGAUUAGCUAGUUGGUGGGGUAAAGCCCACCAAGGCGACGAUCUGUAGCUGGUCUGAGAGGACGACCAGCCACACUGGGACUGAGACACGGCCCAGACUCCUACGGGAGGCAGCAGUGGGGAAUUUUGGACAAUGGGCGCAAGCCUGAUCCAGCAAUGCCGCGUGCAGGACGAAGGCCUCGGGUUGUAACUGCUUUGUUACGGAACG